Molecule: ribosomal RNA, 453 nt
Filed under: Rothia aeria
Lineage: Bacteria; Bacillati; Actinomycetota; Actinomycetes; Micrococcales; Micrococcaceae
Description: bacterial SSU rRNA
Rfam family: Bacterial small subunit ribosomal RNA
Source: RNAcentral
ACGCUGGCGGCGUGCUUAACACAUGCAAGUCGAACGAUGAAGCGGUGCUUGCACCGUGGAUUAGUGGCGAACGGGUGAGUAAUACGUGAGUGACCUACCUUUGACUCUGGGAUAAGCCUGGGAAACUGGGUCUAAUACCGGAUACGACCAAUCUCUGCAUGGGGUGUUGGUGGAAAGCGUUAUGGAGUGGUUUUAGAUGGGCUCACGGCCUAUCAGCUUGUUGGUGAGGUAAUGGCUUACCAAGGCGACGACGGGUAGCCGGCCUGAGAGGGUGACCGGCCACACUGGGACUGAGACACGGCCCAGACUCCUACGGGAGGCAGCAGUGGGGAAUAUUGCACAAUGGGCGCAAGCCUGAUGCAGCGACGCCGCGUGAGGGAUGACGGCCUUCGGGUUGUAAACCUCUGUUAGCAUCGAAGAAGCGAAAGUGACGGUAGGUGCAGAGAAAGCGCC